RNAcentral lists this ribosomal RNA (460 nucleotides) under uncultured bacterium. RNAcentral's name for it is "partial 16S ribosomal RNA". It matches the Rfam family "Bacterial small subunit ribosomal RNA", at positions 338 to 795 of the family's 1533-position model. The record is from RNAcentral.
CCUACGGGGUGCAGCAGUGAGGAAUAUUGGUCAAUGGGCGCGAGCCUGAACCAGCCAAGUCGCGUGAGGGAUGACGGCCCUACGGGUUGUAAACCUCUUUUGCCGGGGAGCAACGGGCGCCACGUGUGGCGCCACUGAGAGUACCCGGAGAAUAAGCAUCGGCUAACUCCGUGCCAGCAGCCGCGGUAUAACGGAGGAUGCGAGCGUUAUCCGGUUUUAUUGGGUUUAAAGGGUGCGUAGGCGGUUUUUUAAGUUAGUGGUUAAACGUCGGGGCUUCACCUUGAUUUGCCAUUAAUACUGUAAGACUCGAGUUCAGACGAGGUAGGCGGAAUAAGUUAAGUAGCGGUGAAAUGCUUAGAUAUAACUUAGAACUCCGAUAGCGAAGGCAGCUUACCAGACUGCGACUGACGCUGAAGCACGAGAGCGUGGGUAGCGAACAGGAUUAGAUACCCCAGUAGUC